RNAcentral lists this ribosomal RNA (530 nucleotides) under uncultured Lachnospiraceae bacterium. RNAcentral describes it as "bacterial SSU rRNA". It matches the Rfam family "Bacterial small subunit ribosomal RNA", at positions 91 to 636 of the family's 1533-position model. Lineage: Bacteria; Bacillati; Bacillota; Clostridia; Lachnospirales; Lachnospiraceae. The record is from RNAcentral.
CUGAGCGGCGGACGGGUGAGUAACGCGUGGGUAACCUGCCUCAUACAGGGGGAUAACAGUUAGAAAUGGCUGCUAAUACCGCAUAAGACCACAGCACCGCAUGGUGCAUGGGUAAAAACUCCGGUGGUAUGAGAUGGACCCGCGUCUGAUUAGCUAGUUGGUGGGGUAACGGCCUACCAAGGCGACGAUCAGUAGCCGACCUGAGAGGGUGACCGGCCACAUUGGGACUGAGACACGGCCCAAACUCCUACGGGAGGCAGCAGUGGGGAAUAUUGCACAAUGGGGGAAACCCUGAUGCAGCGACGCCGCGUGAGCGAAGAAGUAUUUCGGUAUGUAAAGCUCUAUCAGCAGGGAAGAAAAUGACGGUACCUGACUAAGAAGCCCCGGCUAACUACGUGCCAGCAGCCGCGGUAAUACGUAGGGGGCAAGCGUUAUCCGGAUUUACUGGGUGUAAAGGGAGCGUAGACGGCGAGGCAAGUCUGAAGUGAAAGCCCGGGGCUUAACCCCGGGGGAACUGCUUUGGAAACUGU